RNAcentral lists this ribosomal RNA (494 nucleotides) under uncultured soil bacterium. RNAcentral describes it as "bacterial SSU rRNA". It matches the Rfam family "Bacterial small subunit ribosomal RNA", at positions 26 to 518 of the family's 1533-position model. The record is from RNAcentral.
AGAUUGAACGCUGGCGGAAUGCUUUACACAUGCAAGUCGAACGGCAGCACGGGGGCAACCCUGGUGGCGAGUGGCGCACGGGUGAGUAAUACAUCGGAACGUGUCCUAGAGUGGGGGGAUAGCCCGGCGAAAGCCGGAUUAAUACCGCAUACGCUCGAAAGAGGAAAGUGGGGGAUCGUAAGACCUCACGCCCAAGGAGCGGCCGAUGCCGGAUUAGCUUGUUGGUGAGGUAAAAGCUCACCAAGGCGACGAUCCGUAGCUGGUCUGAGAGGACGACCAGCCACACUGGGACUGAGACACGGCCCAGACUCCUACGGGAGGCAGCAGUGGGGAAUUUGGACAAUGGGGGAAACCCUGAUCCAGCCAUUCCGCGUGAGUGAAGAAGGCCUUCGGUUGUAAAGCUCUUUCGGCAGGAACGAAACGGUUGGCGUAAUACCCAGACUACUGACGGUACCUCGAAGAAGAAGCACCGCUAACUACGUGCCAGCAGCCGC